CUUAUCAAGAGUGGCGGAGAAUACAGGUUCUGUGAAGCCCGGCAACCUAUUGAGUAAUUAUUUUAUCCAGAUUAUUCAGAAAAGGUGCUAAAUCCUGCGGUUAAACCGGAAGAUGAGG
Molecule: non-coding RNA, 118 nt
Filed under: uncultured Ruminococcus sp.
Lineage: Bacteria; Bacillati; Bacillota; Clostridia; Eubacteriales; Oscillospiraceae
Description: SAM riboswitch (S box leader)
Rfam family: SAM riboswitch aptamer (S box leader)
About the family: The SAM riboswitch is found upstream of a number of genes which code for proteins involved in methionine or cysteine biosynthesis in Gram-positive bacteria. The SAM riboswitch acts at the level of transcription termination control. The predicted structure consists of a complex stem-loop region followed by a single stem loop terminator region.
Source: RNAcentral